This 1563-nucleotide ribosomal RNA is filed under the name Triticum aestivum (bread wheat). RNAcentral describes it as "partial small subunit ribosomal RNA". Lineage: Eukaryota; Viridiplantae; Streptophyta; Magnoliopsida; Poales; Poaceae. The record is from RNAcentral.
AUGCCACCCCCCAUUGCCUUCCUCCUCCCCCUCUUCUUCCUCAUCGCCGCCACCGUUCCCUCCUCCCGUGCCGCCGACGCCGACGCCGGCCCCGCCGUCCCGCAACCCAGAGGGUUCUACAUAAACUGCGGGGCGGACAAGGAGGUGCAGGUGGGGAGCAUCAAGUGGGUCCCGGACGCGGGCUUCAUCGCCGUCGGCAACGCCUCCGCCGUCGACAAGCCCGCCAUCCUGCCCGUCCUCGCCACGCUGCGCCACUUCCCGGACGCCACCGCGCGCAAGUACUGCUACACCGUCCCGGCCGUCAAGGGCUCGCGCUACCUCGUCCGCACCACCUACUUCUACGGCGGCUUCGACGGCGGCACCGAGCCCCCCGUGUUCGACCAGAUCGUCGACGGCACCCUAUGGAGCGCCGUGAACACCGCCGACAGCGCCCGCCGCGGCAUGUCCACCUACUUCGAGAUGGUGGCGCAGGCGCAGGGCAAGUCCAUGAGCGUCUGCCUGGCGCGCCGCCCCGACACCAAGUCCAGCCCCUUCAUCUCCGCCCUGGAGCUCGUCGACCUCGAGGACUCCAUGUACAACACCACCGACUUCGACAAGUACGUCCUCAGCACCGUCACGCGCAGCGCCAUGGGCGCCAAGGGCGAGAUCAUCAGCUAUCCAGAUGACCAGUACAACCGGUACUGGGCGCCGUUCACGGACGGCAACCCCACGACGGAGAGCCACUCACCGAUCGCGCCGGCGGACUUCUGGAACCUGCCGCCGGCCAAGGCGCUCAAGGGCGCGAUCACCACCAGCCGGGGGAAGAAGCUGACCGUGCAGUGGCCGCCCCUGGAGCUGCCCUUCGCCAGCUACUACGUGGCGCUCUACUUCCAGGACCCGCGCACGGCCAGCCCCUACAGCUGGCGCGUCUUCGACGUCUCCAUGAACGGCAAGGACUUCUUCCUGGGGCUCAACGCCACGGCCGCCGGCGUCAUGGUCUACUCCAACACGAUUCAGCUGGCCGGGAAGACGGAGAUCCUGCUCACGCCCAACGGGACCUGCCCCGUCGGCCCGCUCAUCAACGCCGCCGAGAUCUACCAGAUCGUGCCCGUCGGCGGCAGAACCGCCACCAGAGAUGUGGAUGCAAUGGAAGAUCUCGCUAGGAGCUUGAAGAACCCGCCGCCGGACUGGGCCGGCGACCCCUGCCUGCCGCCGCAGAACUCGUGGACCGGGGUCGGUUGCUCCGACGACUCACCCGUGCGCGUCUUGUCACUGGAUCUAAAAAACCGUGGUCUUUCAGGAUGUCUUCCAGACAGCAUUGGAAAUUUGACAGGGAUGAAUACCAUUUCUCUCAGUGGCAACAAACUCUCAGGACCCAUACCUGACUUCAGCAGUAUGCAGACCUUAACUGCAUUGCAUCUUGAUGGCAACCAGUUCAGUGGAGCGAUCAACCCGUCGCUGGCAAAUCUCACCAAUCUGAAGGAACUGUUCCUGAACGACAACAAUCUCUCCGGACUGAUACCACCAAGCCUGAAAACCAAGCCUGGACUUGUCAUGAGGACUGAGGGGAACAAACUUCAAUGA